UACGUAGGGCGCAAGCGUUAUCCGGAAUUACUGGGCGUAAAGCGUGCGCAGGCGGUUCGUUAAGUUCGUUGUGAAAGCCCCGGGCUCAACCUGGGAACUGCAAUGGAAACUGGCGGGCUUGAAUGCGGCAGAGGGGGGUGGAAUUCCGCGUGUAGCAGUGAAAUGCGUAGAGAUGCGGAGGAACACCGAUGGCGAAGGCAGCCCCCUGGGCCGACAUUGACGCUCAGGCACGAAAGCGUGGGGAGCAAACAGG
RNAcentral lists this ribosomal RNA (253 nucleotides) under uncultured bacterium. RNAcentral's name for it is "partial 16S ribosomal RNA". It matches the Rfam family "Bacterial small subunit ribosomal RNA", at positions 524 to 776 of the family's 1533-position model. The record is from RNAcentral.